This is a non-coding RNA of Rhizopus microsporus ATCC 52813, 74 nucleotides long. The record is from the annotation of a RefSeq genome assembly. NCBI's taxonomy places the organism in Eukaryota, Fungi, Mucoromycota, Mucoromycetes, Mucorales, Rhizopodaceae.
GCUCUUAUGGCGCAAUUGGCUAGCGCGUCUGACUGUUAAUCAGGAGGUUCGUGGUUCGAGCCCACGUAGGAGCG